GUGGGGAAUAUUGGACAAUGGGCGCAAGCCUGAUCCAGCCAUGCCGCGUGAGUGAUGAAGGCCCUAGGGUUGUAAAGCUCUUUCACCGAUGAAGAUAAUGACGGUAGUCGGAGAAGAAGCCCCGGCUAACUUCGUGCCAGCAGCCGCGGUAAUACGAAGGGGGCUAGCGUUGUUCGGAAUUACUGGGCGUAAAGCGCACGUAGGCGGAUAUUUAAGUCAGGGGUGAAAUCCCAGAGCUCAACUCUGGAACUGCCUUUGAUACUGGGUAUCUCGAGUAUGGAAGAGGUGAGUGGAAUUCCGAGUGUAGAGGUGAAAUUCGUAGAUAUUCGGAGGAACACCAGUGGCGAAGGCGGCUCACUGGUCCAUUACUGACGCUGAGGUGCGAAAGCGUGGGGAGCAAACAGGAUUAGAAACCCGUGUAGUCC
RNAcentral lists this ribosomal RNA (425 nucleotides) under uncultured bacterium. RNAcentral describes it as "bacterial SSU rRNA". It matches the Rfam family "Bacterial small subunit ribosomal RNA", at positions 354 to 796 of the family's 1533-position model. The record is from RNAcentral.